Molecule: long non-coding RNA, 501 nt
Organism: Xenia sp. Carnegie-2017
Lineage: Eukaryota; Metazoa; Cnidaria; Anthozoa; Malacalcyonacea; Xeniidae
Exons: 3
Source: RefSeq, a predicted model, not a curated record
AGUUGUAUCAAGGCAGAGUUCAUGUGGCCCUAUGGCUGUAAAGUUUGGAGACCCCUGUAUUAUGCGAUACUAUCUUGUAAUUAAUUUAAAAAUUCCUCUAAAUAGUAAUACUGUCGUGCCUCUAUUUGACUUAUAGCGUUAAUUACACAUCGCCCUGGUGUAUUAAGUUGUACACAGGCGUCUCAAAAAUCUGCUUAUCUUUGAAAUCAGUCAAUAUUUAGAAUUUGCAUGAUUCAGGAAUAGGUAAUUAUCAAGAAAGCGUAAACGAAAUAAAUUUCAAUUUAAUUGAGUUUGAUGCUUCAAAUUUUAAAGUACAAUUGCUGUACAGUAACUUCAAUUUGUGUAAUGCUUGUUUACAUUUCAUUUAAAUCUCUUUGGAAAUCAAUUACUUCUGAAUCAUGUAGAUUCUAAACGUCUGCUGAUUUCAAAGAUGUGCAGUUUUUCUCAAACACCGUCUUGUAUAGAAAUGCAUAGAAAGACAAUACACAAUUUUAAGCAAUA